GAAGAACGACUCGGCGAGUCGAGUUGUGGGUCCCCGAUUUUUCCCUUUUGAGUGAUGCCGAGUGGGGACCAGUGAGUAGUAGAGUAGACUCAGCGAGUCGGAGGUCAGACUCAGUAAUGCAGGGACUUGGCGAGUUGUUCAUACAACUCGGCGAUUCCAAGGCAAUCUUCUUAGCUCGAAGAACAACUCGUCGAGUUGUUCAUACGACUCGGCGAGUCGGAUGCAGAUUGCCUGAGUUUUAGAUUCGAAAGGGAACUCGUCGAGUUGAUGCCAUACUCGACGAGUAGCAGUGAGUAGGGUUGAGAAGUGAGAAUAGGGACUCGGCGAGUUGGCGGCCCAACUCGGCGAGUCAGGUCAACUGUAGGUUGACUUUGACCAGGAGAGUUGACUUUGACCAAGGGUAAAAGAGUCAUUUUACCCCAGUGCAGUGAUUAGCAUUUGAUUGAGUGUGUUAUGGAUUUGUAGCCGGGGAGAUACCGGAGCAGCAGCAGUUAGCUUCCAGAGCCAUACACACAGCAGCCAGUUCACGGGGUGAGUUUCCUUCCAGUAGGAAUGGGUGUACGGCCACAAUGCCAACCCGUUUAGUUAGUAACAGUUUCGGACUUCAGUCCGAAGCAGUAGUUUAGUAUGCUUGAUGUCUAUGNNNNNNNNNNNNNNNNNNNNNNNNNNNNNNNNNNNNNNNNNNNNNNNNNNNNNNNNNNNNNNNNNNNNNNNNNNNNNNNNNNNNNNNNNNNNNNNNNNNNUUUCCGGUGUAAGUUCCCUAGGUCCAGUUGCCCUGAACUCCUUAAGCAUCCGGAUGAGCCUGCUGUCAGAGGGAACAGCGCCAUACAUUGUCUCCGGAAUAGAGCCAAUGAAAGAGAACUUGGAUGCAUCAGAGACGAUGAUCUUCGUGGUAUGAAACAUACCGAUCUAAGACAUCGAUGCACCAGCAGCAGUUGGGACAUCAAGUUUGUCCAUCGCCCAUUUGGUGAUAAGAAUCCAGAACCGGGCAUACGACACCUCAGAAUGUCGUGAUGAAGAAGAAAGGCUCUGGAUGAGCUGUUGCCAGAGGACCAACCCAAACUCAAGAUUGACUCCGUGGUAGAUAGCAUACAUAAUCGACAAGAACAGUCGAAUAGAACCAUCGGAUCCUGAGCUCCGUUCAGAUAAGCCCUUGAAGAGGACUGUAAACAUGCCGUUCCACUGUGGCGGCAAGCAGGAUUUCUUGAACUUCGCGACGGAGGUUAGCGCCUCCGUGUACCCCAUUUUAUAAAACAUGUUGUAAAGAUACCCAAUCGGAAUUGUCUCCGGAUUGAUUCUUGUAGGAUCAGCAGCCAACCCUAGCAGUAUGCAGAAACGUUGUCGAGAAAUGGAGGUCUUGUGAUCAGCAACCUCGAAGAAUACCCACUCGACUGCUUUGUCAUAAUGUGCAGUCGCAUACACUUGCGAUAGAAUCUCCAUGGGCACAGACUCAACCCUGGAAAGAGCUGGAGCGAUUUGUGAGCACUUCAGGCACUCGAUGAUCGGCGACAUAUAAGAGUCGUACGCCAGAGGGUUAAGGUCGAUCACCAAGCAUUGGUGAGGACGAAUGGGUAGUAUGUGUGAGGUAGCAUGGACUGAGGAUGAUUCCGCCAUUGUUGAAAGUAGGAAGAAGAAGAUGAACAGUAAAGCUUUUGGGAGUUUUUGCUCUCUUGUAAAUUUUGAGGCAGUAAAGAGGUAAAUGGAAGUAUUGACUGCCUUUUAUAGUGGGUGAAAGGAGAGAGAAAAAUCGUUUCAAAUCUUCUAUGGAAAUACGAAAAGGUUUCCGGAAUGAUAGAUGCGUGAUAGUUAAGGCAUGCGAUGAUCACGUAGGAGAGAGAGUGUCAGAUUCCUAGGAUCACGCCGCCCAACAAGCGCCGUUUCAGAACAUACCGUUUCAAAUCCUCACGCGCCUUUAAGUGCCAGAGAGGUGUCGCUUGAAAUUCGCACACGCGUCCAUGAUGGCAGUAAAAGUAUGGGCGUUCCACAUUCACACGCGUUCCCUUUUUACCGUCGUUUGAAAUUCAAUCCUUUUAACCCCCGCCUGAGUCAGCAACCCUUCGUCUUAUCUUCGAAAUGGCAUCUUUUGAAUUAAUUNGACCACAGCUUAAUAAUUAACCACCAAAGUAAUAAUACAGCCUGUAAUUAUUAGUAACAGAAUUUUGGAAAAUCANNNNNNNNNNNNNNNNNNNNNNNNNNNNNNNNNNNNNNNNNNNNNNNNNNNNNNNNNNNNNNNNNNNNNNNNNNNNNNNNNNNNNNNNNNNNNNNNNNNNCCCGUUCCUUGGCGGUGAAAACAUGACCUUUGAUUCGGUCUACUUCAGUCCGUUUCAGGUUCGAAGUGACGAUGAGGACGAUGCUCCAGUGACGAAGAAGCAUCUUAAGGAGCUAAACGAGAAGGUUGACUUACUUCUUGCUUCAUCUUCCAACAACUAGUCCUCUCUCUCUGAAGCCGCUCUUCAGAAGAUUGUUGAUGCCUUCUCCAGGGCUCAACAUGAUUCUGUAGCUUCAGCCAUAGCCGCCAUAGACGCCUCUACAAAAGCCUGUGAGGCUGCGACCGCAAAAGUCGAUAAACUAUUCUCAGACGCCUCUUCCCUGUUGAAGUCCUUACAGGAGAGCGCUGAUGCCACCAAGACAACUUUGGAACCAAUCGUUCAGCAAUUGGCCAAGUUCGUCUCAACGGAGUUACAGUCAUUCGCUACACUUCGCCAAUCAAUCAGCGAUGACAACUCGGCCCUUCGUGCCUCCACUGACGAGCGCCUCGCUAAGAUACAAGAGGAUCUUGCGGCUGAAAAUUCGUUAAUGGACGUUCUGGCAAGCAAAACCACCGCCCUUAAGGUCAAGAGCACUCAGCUUUCAAACUCUCAACAACAGCUUAAAGCUCUUCGAUCCGAACGGGAGGUUAUAAAAACUUGUGUUUCGGAUGUACACGCUGCCCUAUCUAACAUCCUGGAAGCACACGAUCCGAUUCUCAAUCAUUCGGUGAGGCGAACCCUUGCUGAAAAACUUGCUCCUGCCCUGGACCUUCUCAGCAAAAUUGAGGGCUUACCUAGUUUCGUGNAUCCGAAACAAGGGGGAGAAGGGAAGAAGUCCGGAUCGAAACCACCUCCUUCCUCAACAGCUACUCACACAACCGAACCACCUCCGACUGGUCAAGCUUCGGGUUCGGGUGUGAAGGAGAAAGGGAAGAACAUAGCUGAGGAAGAAGAUGAAGAUGAAAAAACCAAUGCUGACAUGUUGAAGCGCAAAAACAGUCGCAAUGUCGAUGAUGACUACNNNNNNNNNNNNNNNNNNNNNNNNNNNNNNNNNNNNNNNNNNNNNNNNNNNNNNNNNNNNNNNNNNNNNNNNNNNNNNNNNNNNNNNNNNNNNNNNNNNNACUGACCAAGAAGUCGGUGGUAUUUCGUUGGGGGCCUGAGCAGUACACAACGUUCGAGACCCUCAGACAGAGAUUGUGCGAGGCCCCGAUCCUUACCUUGCCAGAGGGAGUAGAGGACUUCGUAGUCUACUGUGAUGCCUCGAUCACAGGUAUGGGAGCAGUAUUGAUGCAGCGNNNNNNNNNNNNNNNNNNNNNNNNNNNNNNNNAGUUGAAGCCUCACGAGGCUAACUAUCCUACCCAUGAUUUAGAGCUGGGGGCGGUUGUGUUUGCCCUCAAGAUUUGGAGACAUUAUCUUUAUGGGGUCCGUUGUACUAUCUACACGGAUCACAAGAGUUUGAGGUACCUUAUGGAUCAGCCGAGUCUGAACAUGAGGCAUAGGAGAUGGUUGGAUGUGCUGAAGGAUUAUGACUGUGAGAUCCUUUACCAUCCAGGAAAGGCCAACAUGGUGGCCGACGCCCUAAGCCGCAAAGUGUCGGUAGCCCCUAUCAGAGACUUGUGUUUGAGGAUAACAGUGAUCACUCCAUUGUUGGAGCGGAUCAAGGAGGCUCGGGUUGAGGGCCUCAAGGAGGAGAGACAAAAGUGUGAGAGGAUAGUGGGCCGAGUAGCUUCAUUUGAUUAUGACAGUCGAGGAUUGCUGACGCUUCACGAGAGGGUAUGGGUACCGUACUGGGGUGGAGUACGGCAGGUAUUGAUGGACGAGGCUCAUAAGUCUCGAUUUUCUAUCCACCCAGGGGCAACGAAGAUGUAUAGAGAUCUUCGACCCGAUUAUUGGUGGCCCUGCAUGAAGCGGGAUGUCGCCUGGUAUGUUGAGAGAUGCCUGACCUGCAGGAAGGUCAAGGCGGAGCACCAGAGGCCUCACGGCAAGAUGCAGCCGUUAGACAUUCCCGUGUGGAAAUGGGAGGACAUCACCAUGGAUUUUGUCACCAAGCUUCCCAGGACCGCACGAGGAGUAGAUUCGAUAUGGGUAGUAGUGGAUCGGUUGACGAAGAGUGCUCAUUUUAUCCCGAUCCAGGAGAGUAUAUCGGCAGAAAAGUUAGCCGAUAUCUAUGUGCGUGAGAUCGUGGCACGUCAUGGAGUGCCGGUAUCGGUGGUGUCAGACCGAGAUGUCCGUUUUACAUCCAGAUUCUGGAAGCGGUUUCACGACGAGAUGGGUACUCGUCUCCAUUUCAGCACCGCUUUCCACCCUCAGACGGACGGGCAGAGCGAGAGGACGAUUCAGACUCUCGAGGACAUGCUCAGGGCAUGUGUUCUAGACUUCGGUGGCAGUUGGGAUACGUAUCUUCCGUUAGCGGAAUUUUCGUAUAACAACAGUUAUCAUGCGAGCAUUGAUCGACCUCCCUUUGAGAUGCUUUAUGGGAGGAAGUGUAGGACCCCGAUUUGUUGGGGCGAGGUCGGUCAGCGAGUCAUUGGGAGCACAGAGGUGGUGCUCAAGACGACCGAGUUGAUUCAGCAGGUCCGUAGUAGACUGCAGACUGCGCAGAGUCGGCAGAAGAGCUACGCCGACAGGAGGCGUUCAGACUUGGAGUUCCGGGUGGGCGAUAUGGUCCUUCUGAAGGUCUCACCCUGGAAGGGUGUCAUCAGGUUUCGGAAGAGGGGCAAGCUGGGUCCCAGGUUCAUUGGUCCUUUCAGGGUUUUGGCCCGAGUGGGUCGGGUUGCUUAUCGGUUGGAUCUUCCUGAAGAGCUUAGCCAGAUCCACAACACUUUCCAUGUGUCUCAGUUGAGGAAGUGUUUGGUGGAUGAGUCAGCAGUCGUUCCCCUAGAGGAUAUUCAGGUUGAUAGUAGCCUGAAUUAUAUUGAGAGGCCGGUCGCGAUUCUGGACCGGAAGACCAAGACCUUGAGGAACAAGGAAAUUCAGUUAGUGAAGGUGCAGUGGCAACACCGGAAGGGGUCUGAGUGGACGUGGGAGGCUGAGGAGGAGAUGAGAGAGCACUACCCGGAGUUAUUUGCAGAUUCAGCCGUAGCAGACUUCGAGGACGAAGUCUGAGACAAGUGGGGGAGAAUUGUAACGACCCGUCUCUGGUAUGUUGCUUCCAUGGCAUUUAAUUAGAAGUUUUCAAGAGGGACUCGGCGAGUCUAUAGCCCGACUCGUCGAGUAGGGACGGGAUUUCGUGCACGUGUUAGUCGGCGACUCGGCGAGUCCAUAUUCGGGACUCGGCGAGUCUGCCUGCCUGGAAGAAACCCUAAAUCCCCGGGUUGCUCACUAUUUAAACCACCUUAUAGCCCCAAUCUCGCCUCCUUCACCCUCAGAGAGCUGUGAGAAAACCCUAAUCCAUCCUUGAGUGAUUUAAGUGUUCUUGUGUGAAAUUUUGAAGGCUUGAAGAGGAAGAAGAAGAAAGGAACAAGGAGAAGAGGUGUAGAGCAAAGAUCCAAGGGCAAAAUCAGAGUUCAUUGAGGUAUUCUUCAGAUUCCGUCUGUUUUAUGCUUUAAACCUCCAAUAGAACACUUCUAGGGCUAGAUUGACGUAUUUUCCAACUCUAUAGUUAUAUGAAUGCCUUAAUAGGUCGAGAUAUCCUUAGAUCUGUUCAUUUAGGAGUUGUAGAGCCCGGAUCUAUUGCCUUUUUGGAGAUACUUUGCAUGAGAACUCUAGAUCUAGCCUUUAUUAUGCUUUUUGAGCCAUUUUAUCUUCAUGGAUGCAUAUGGGCACGUAAAGAUAGAAUCUUUACGUGCUAAUCGAGUUAAGGGAGCCCAGAUCUAUAAGUUUUAUACACUGGAUUCAAGCAGAAUCGAGUUUAGAGUUGCUACAUGCAAGUGACUCGGCGAAUCGGAAGAACGACUCGGCGAGUCGAGUCGUGAGUUCCUGAUUUUCCCUUUUGAGUGAUGCCGAGUAGGGACCAGUGAGUGGUAGAGUGGACUCAACGAGUUUGAGGUCAGACUCAGUAAUGGAGGGACUCGGCGAGUUGUUCAUACAACUCGGCGAGUCCAAGGCAAUCUUCUUAGCUCGAAGAACAACUCGUCGAGUUGUUCAUAUGACUCGGCGAGUCGGAUGCAGAUUGCCUAAGUUUUUNGACUUGGCGAGUUGUUCAUACAACUCGGCGAUUCCAAGGCAAUCUUCUUAGCUCGAAGAACAACUCGUCGAGUUGUUCAUACGACUCGACGAGUCGGAUGCAGAUUGCCUGAGUUUUAGUUUCGAAAGGGAACUCGUCGAGUUGAUGCCAUACUCGACGAGUAGCAGCGAGUAGGGUUGAGAAGUGAGAAUAGGGACUCGGCGAGUUGGCAGCCCAACUCGGCGAGUCAGGUCAACUGUAGGUUGACUUUGACCCGAAGAGUUGACUUUGACCAAGGGUAAAAGAGUCAUUUUACCCCAGUGCAGUGAUUAGCAUUGAUUGAGUGUGUUUAUGGACUUGUAGCCUGGGAGAUACCGGAGCAGCAGCAGAUGGCUUCCAGAGCCAUACACACAGCAGCCAGUUCACGAGGUGAGUUUCCUUCCAGUAGGAAUGGGUCUAUGGCCACAAUGCCGGCCCGUUUAGUUAGUAGCAGUUCUGGACUUCAGUCCGAAGCAGUAGUUCAGUAUGCUUGAUGCCUAUGUGAUUCAAGCACGUUUGUGUGUUAUAUGUUCCGGACUACGGUCUGAUGCAGUAUGCAGUAUAUGUGUUUAUGUUAGUUGAUAUGUGUUAUGCCAUGCUAUGAUCAGUAGUUCCAGACUUCGGUCCGAUGCAGUCAUUUCCGGACUUCGGUCCGAUGUAGUCAGUUCCGUACUUCGGUCCGAUGCAGUCAGUUUCGGACUUAGGUCCGAUGCAGUCAAUUCCAGACUUC
This 7123-nucleotide long non-coding RNA is filed under the name Lactuca sativa (garden lettuce). RNAcentral's name for it is "long non-coding RNA (LSAT_LNC009106)". Lineage: Eukaryota; Viridiplantae; Streptophyta; Magnoliopsida; Asterales; Asteraceae. The record is from RNAcentral.